This 298-nucleotide ribosomal RNA is filed under the name uncultured bacterium. Its description in RNAcentral is "partial 16S ribosomal RNA". It matches the Rfam family "Bacterial small subunit ribosomal RNA", at positions 475 to 776 of the family's 1533-position model. The record is from RNAcentral.
CUAUGCGCCUUGCCAGCCCGCUCAGGUGUGCCAGCAGCCGCGGUAAUACGUAGGUGGCAAGCGUUAUCCGGAUUUAUUGGGCGUAAAGGGAACGCAGGCGGUCUUUUAAGUCUGAUGUGAAAGCCUUCGGCUUAACCGGAGUAGUGCAUUGGAAACUGGGAGACUUGAGUGCAGAAGAGGAGAGUGGAACUCCAUGUGUAGCGGUGAAAUGCGUAGAUAUAUGGAAGAACACCAGUGGCGAAAGCGGCUCUCUGGUCUGUAACUGACGCUGAGUUCGAAAGCGUGGGUAGCAAACAGG